AUGCAAAGGAUGACAUGGCGAUGACUGGGCAACAAAGUUUAAUUGAUGUAUAUUUCCCAUUUAUAAAAGAUGAUCAGCAAAAACCGAAGAGAUCCAAGCUCGAUAUUUGGGGGAAAAAAUUUUUAGGGUUCUUCUCAUUCUUCCUUCUUCUCUCGCUCACCAAAAACCGAAGAGAUCGAACAGCAAAAACAAAGAGCUCGAUAUUUGGG
This 209-nucleotide long non-coding RNA is filed under the name Panax ginseng (ginseng). Its description in RNAcentral is "long non-coding RNA (PGIN_LNC001653)". Lineage: Eukaryota; Viridiplantae; Streptophyta; Magnoliopsida; Apiales; Araliaceae. The record is from RNAcentral.